Molecule: non-coding RNA, 28 nt
Filed under: Cricetulus griseus (Chinese hamster)
Lineage: Eukaryota; Metazoa; Chordata; Mammalia; Rodentia; Cricetidae
Source: RNAcentral
AUGAUGAUGAACUCGGAAAGAAGCAGUU